RNAcentral lists this ribosomal RNA (406 nucleotides) under uncultured bacterium. RNAcentral describes it as "partial 16S ribosomal RNA". It matches the Rfam family "Bacterial small subunit ribosomal RNA", at positions 29 to 526 of the family's 1533-position model. The record is from RNAcentral.
AAUGAACGCUGGCGGCAGGCCUAACACAUGCAAGUCGAACGAGGGGCGGACGGGUGAGUAAUGUCUGAGACAUUGCCCGAUGGAGGGGGAUAACUACUGGAAACGGUCGCUAAAACCGCUAACCAUAGGGUGUGCCCCGAUGGGAUUAGCUAGUAGGUGGGGUAAUGGCUCAACUAGGCGACGAUCCCUAGCUGGGCUGAGAGGAUGACCAGCCACACGGUAACAUAGACACGGUCAAGACUCCGACGGGAGGCAGCAGUGGGGAAUAUUGCACAAUGGCCGCAAGCCUGAUGCAGCGAUGCCGCGUGUAUGAAGAAGGCCUUCGGGUUUUAAAGUACUUUCAGCGGUGAGGCGUUACCUGCAGAAGAAGCACCGGCUAACUCCGUGCCAGCAGCCGCGGUAAUAC